RNAcentral lists this ribosomal RNA (377 nucleotides) under uncultured bacterium. RNAcentral's name for it is "bacterial SSU rRNA". It matches the Rfam family "Bacterial small subunit ribosomal RNA", at positions 521 to 896 of the family's 1533-position model. The record is from RNAcentral.
UAAUACGUAGGGGGCUAGCGUUGUCCGGAAUCAUUGGGCGUAAAGCGCGCGUAGGCGGCCCGAUAAGUCCGCUGUAAAAGUCCAGGGCUCAACCCUGGAAAGCCGGUGGAUACUGUCGGGCUAGAGUCCGGAAGAGGCGAGUGGAAUUCCUGGUGUAGCGGUGGAAUGCGCAGAUAUCAGGAGGAACACCAAUAGCGAAGGCAGCUCGCUGGGACGGCACUGACGCUGAGGCGCGAAAGCGUGGGGAGCGAACAGGAUUAGAUACCCUGGUAGUCCACGCCGUAAACGAUGGGUACUAGGUGUGGGGGGUGUCGACUCCCCCCGUGCCGGCGCUAACGCAUUAAGUACCCCGCCUGGGGAGUACGGCCGCAAGGCUA